Molecule: long non-coding RNA, 811 nt
Organism: Rhopalosiphum padi (bird cherry-oat aphid)
Lineage: Eukaryota; Metazoa; Arthropoda; Insecta; Hemiptera; Aphididae
Exons: 4
Source: RefSeq, a predicted model, not a curated record
UUGUUUUCAAGAAUUUUUUAAUAAAAAUGAAGUUUGUCUGUUAGUUUAUGUUUUGAUUGUUUCAAUUUCAAAAUUAUUCAGUGUUGUCCAUGUACUAGUUGUUAUAUAAAAAUUGUUGUCCUCUUUACGGUGUCUAGUAGCGACAUUUUAUCCUCCAACCAUUAUACAUAUUUAACUUACUAUUUUUUUUUUAGAUGGCAGUACAGCAGAUCAUUCAAUACACGCUGAGACAUGAAUUCACAUUUCUACCUCUAUGCUAAAUAUCAAUAUCCUACGUUGAAAAUGUACUUGACGAUACUGCUAAUAAUAAUGGUUUUGUGCAACGUGCGUGUAAUGGAUGGCAGUACAGCAGAUCACUCAAUACAUGCUGAGACAUGAAUUCACAUUUCUACCACUAUGCAAAAUAUCAACAUCCUACGUUGAAAAUGUACUAGACGAUACUGCUAAUAAUAAGGGUUUUGUGCAACGUGCGUGUAAUGGAUGGCAGUACUGCAGAUCACCGGAGGCAUGCUGAGACAUGAAUUAGCAUUUCUAUCACUAGGGAAAGUUACAACAUUUUCCGUUGAAAAUGGAAUAGAAGAUGGCAGUAUAUCAGAUCAAUCAAGGCACGCUGAGACACGAAUUCACAUUUCUACCACCAAGGAAAGAAUCAACAUGCUAUGUUGAAAAUGGACUAGAAGAUACUGAUAAUAAUAUUGGAUUUAUGCAAUGUGCGUGCAAUGGUUAUUGAAUAUAAUUGAUUCUAAAUUAAUAGCUGUGAAACAAUUGAGAUUUGUUAAAUAUCUGAAUAAAAUAAUAGUAAACACCUUUA